CAUCUCACUCGAUUGAAUAAUAGUUGAAGGUUUUGGGUCUGAGGUGCAAUAAAUAUAUAUAAAAUUUACACUUGAUAAUUUCCAUCUACAAAAUCUUUCAACUAUUCAAUCGAGUGAGAUG
This is a non-coding RNA of Paramuricea clavata, 121 nucleotides long. The record is from the annotation of a GenBank genome assembly. NCBI's taxonomy places the organism in Eukaryota, Metazoa, Cnidaria, Anthozoa, Malacalcyonacea, Plexauridae.